ACGCACGCUGGCGGCGUGCUUAACCCAUGCAAGUCGCACGGAAAGGCCCUGCUUUUGUGGGGUGCUCGAGUGGCGAACGGGUGAGUAACACGUGAGUAACCUGCCCUUGACUUUGGGAUAACUUCAGGAAACUGGGGCUAAUACCGGAUAGGAGCUCCUGCUGCAUGGUGGGGGUUGGAAAGUUUCGGCGGUUGGGGAUGGACUCGCGGCUUAUCAGCUUGUUGGUGGGGUAGUGGCUUACCAAGGCUUUGACGGGUAGCCGGCCUGAGAGGGUGACCGGCCACAUUGGGACUGAGAUACGGCCCAGACUCCUACGGGAGGCAGCAGUGGGGAAUAUUGCACAAUGGGCGGAAGCCUGAUGCAGCAACGCCGCGUGCGGGAUGACGGCCUUCGGGUUGUAAACCGCUUUCGCCUGUGACGAAGCGUGAGUGACGGUAAUGGGUAAAGAAGCACCGGCUAACUACGU
RNAcentral lists this ribosomal RNA (466 nucleotides) under uncultured bacterium. RNAcentral describes it as "partial 16S ribosomal RNA". It matches the Rfam family "Bacterial small subunit ribosomal RNA", at positions 29 to 506 of the family's 1533-position model. The record is from RNAcentral.